Molecule: ribosomal RNA, 468 nt
Filed under: uncultured bacterium
Lineage: Bacteria
Description: partial 16S ribosomal RNA
Rfam family: Bacterial small subunit ribosomal RNA
Source: RNAcentral
GAUGAACGCUGGCGGCGUGCUUAACACAUGCAAGUCGAACGGUGAAGGCGGAGCUUGCUCUGCUGGAUCAGUGGCGAACGGGUGAGUAACACGUGAGCAAUCUGCCCCUGACUCUGGGAUAAGCGCUGGAAACGGCGUCUAAUACUGGAUACGAGCUGCGAAGGCAUCUUCAGCAGCUGGAAAGAAUUUCGGUCAGGGAUGAGCUCGCGGCCUAUCAGCUUGUUGGUGAGGUAAUGGCUCACCAAGGCGUCGACGGGUAGCCGGCCUGAGAGGGUGACCGGCCACACUGGGACUGAGACACGGCCCAGACUCCUACGGGAGGCAGCAGUGGGGAAUAUUGCACAAUGGGCGAAAGCCUGAUGCAGCAACGCCGCGUGAGGGACGACGGCCUUCGGGUUGUAAACCUCUUUUAGCAGGCAAGAAGCGAAAGUGACGGUACCUGCAGAAAAAGCGCCGGCUAACUACGUG